Molecule: ribosomal RNA, 409 nt
Filed under: uncultured bacterium
Lineage: Bacteria
Description: bacterial SSU rRNA
Rfam family: Bacterial small subunit ribosomal RNA
Source: RNAcentral
GACGAACGCUGGCGGUGUGCUUCACACAUGCAAGUCGAACGAGGUAGCAAUACCUAGUGGCGGACGGGUGAGUAACGCGUGGGAAUCUGCCUUUAGAUGGGGGAUAACGGGUCGAAAGACUCGCUAAUACCGCAUAUGACGAAAGUUGAAAGGAGUAAUCCGUCUAAAGAUGAGCCCGCGUCCGAUUAGCUAGUUGGUAGAGUAAAAGCCUACCAAGGGCGACGAUCGGGUAGCUGGUACUGAGAGGAUGAUCAGCCUACAAUGGGACUGAGACACGGUCCGGACUCCUACGGGAGGCAGCAGUGGGGAAUAUUCGGACAAUGGGCGCAAGCCUGAUCCAGCAAUGCCGCGUGUGUAGAAGAAGGCCUGCGGGUUGUAAAGCACGUUUUGUUCGGGAAGAAAUCAUGUC